Engraulis encrasicolus (European anchovy) is the source of this 2112-nucleotide long non-coding RNA. RefSeq lists it as uncharacterized. The record is from RefSeq and is a predicted model, not a curated record. NCBI's taxonomy places the organism in Eukaryota, Metazoa, Chordata, Actinopteri, Clupeiformes, Engraulidae. The transcript has 3 exons.
UACACCAAUACACAAUAUUUUGUGUUACCUUUGAACAGAAAUAGCGCAUUAUUCUACUAAAAGCAAUGGUAACUGAUGCAUAGGCCACAUUGUUGCUGAAUCACAUGUGACGUUGGCAAAGUGACACUCUGUUGUGAUCAAAUAAAAGAUCAAAUAAAAGUCAAAGAAUUUCAUGGCUAAGGGAACGGUGUAACAUGCCUGGCGAUUCCAUCUUAAGAGAGAGGGGACGACGGGGUUUGUAUGAACACUGAAAUGACUUGAGUGCUCCUCGACUAUCGCUAUCCCCACCCCCGCCUCGCAUCUAUAGGCUAGUCAAGCUUCCUAUAUAUCCACCAACAUGAACAUCGUGUGCUCUAUUCCCCUCACACGCAGGAGCACGCUGAAACACCACAGGCUCGGCAUAGUUCGAGGUCUCUGAGCAGACACCCCCCCUCACCACCUCCACCCCACCUGAAGAAGAGCACCCCCCUUGCUCUCAUCUGCACAGCCAUGAUCAUCAGACUGGGAAGACUCACCCCUGGAUACUUCCGCCUCCUCCAGAGGCAGGUGGCAGGAGAGGUGGCGAUGCAGCCGCAGGACCGCGCGGUGAACCAGGUGGCCAUGAUGCUGGCGAUCCUGGGCCUCAGCCUGUCCUACUACAGCGCCAAACAGAUGACCGAGAAGGUGCAGCGGCAACAUCAGGGUCCCACCCCCUGAACACGACCACGCACCCUUGACAUCCGGCCGGAGAUGGCCGGCGUGAAAAAAGCCAAUGACAGGAGGAGGAGGAGAGGAAGAUCACUGGAGGAAUGAAGAUGAUGAUGAUGCUGAUAAUAAUAAUCAUGAUUAUGACGUCCAGCACUUUUUGAAACCCUCACCCUCACACUGCUGACACCACAGUCACGUUUUUAAGACACUGGAGUUUUUUUUGUUUGUUCCACACACACAGACACAAGACACACAUGCGCGUCGCGUCGGGGUUGCUCGCCAGGUGGGCGGGUGAGUGUUCAGAGCGCAGGACAGGACACCUCUGAUGCGGCUUCUCAGUUAUAUAUUUUUUUGAAAGGAUUUUUGCCCCCUCUUCAUUAUUUCCAUGUCGGGUGAAGUCUUCAGGAGAGGAAAAGCAAAGGAAAAAUAAGACUGUGUGGGGUUCUAGUGAUGGCCUUGGGGGGGGUCCCUCUGGUCCUGUGAACUGGUGAAGGAGGGCAAAGAGACAGACACCCCCCUCAACACCCAUGUGCUUGUGUGACCUGAGUUUCAAUGGUUGCUGCAAACGGCUGUAGGUAUGUGGUAUGUGAACAUAGCAGUGCUGCUCCGGGGAGCGAUAGGGGUAGAAGUAAUGCAUGAGCCACCCCAGGCUGGCUUAGGGGGUGCAAUACGUGGGGAGAAUGAUUCCCAAUCUGGGGUGCUAUAUGAGGGGAAAGUGAUUCCCAAUCUGCCCAGUUAGUGGGGGAUUGCCCAUGCUUCGAGCCCAGGUAGUGUGGGGGUGGGCUUUAGUAGAUUCAGACAACGCAGCAACAUAACAUGGUGGCCAGGGUUGAAUAGGCCGAGCACCAAACGAAAGCAGGCACACAGGCAAGAUGGACGUUAAAAAACUGUGAAAACCCCCUAAACAAUGACUUUUAGUCCUCUCCCAUAUCCUUUUUUUCACUUUUCCCUUUUUUCCUGAGAAGCCUUACAGAGCCGUCUGAACUUGCGUUGGAGAAGAAGUCACCUAAUCAGACGUUUUUUGUUUUGUUUUUUUUUAACUCUGGGGAAAUGUUCCACACCACAGGCAAUGCAUUAUGGGAACUGUAGUGGAUCUAAAAAGGGACCGUUUGUUUCGUCACUACUGUUGAUCUUCUGUUUUACUGUUAACAGUGUUCUGCGUCACUAUAGACGAGUCGUAUAAAAUCUGUGGCUUAUUAGGGAUUUUAAGUAUAUCCUUGGCAAUAUCUCUUGUCUGUCUACCUUUCCAAUGUUGCAUGAAGAGCCUUUUUUCUUUUAUCUUUAGAAAGGAAAUAACUUUUUAAUCUUUUGUGCUGUCAUUAAGGACUUUUUAAAAAAAAGAAAAGCAUAAUGAUGACGAUGAAUGUAUGUUAUUUUUAAAGUGUUGAUUUUUGAAAUAAAGCUGUGAAUUUCUUUUGGACAAGA